Molecule: ribosomal RNA, 2406 nt
Filed under: Staphylococcus aureus
Lineage: Bacteria; Bacillati; Bacillota; Bacilli; Caryophanales; Staphylococcaceae
Description: partial 23S ribosomal RNA
Rfam family: Bacterial large subunit ribosomal RNA
Source: RNAcentral
GGUGAAAAGCACCCCGGAAGGGGAGUGAAAUAGAACCUGAAACCGUGUGCUUACAAGUAGUCAGAGCCCGUUAAUGGGUGAUGGCGUGCCUUUUGUAGAAUGAACCGGCGAGUUACGAUUUGAUGCAAGGUUAAGCAGUAAAUGUGGAGCCGUAGCGAAAGCGAGUCUGAAUAGGGCGUUUAGUAUUUGGUCGUAGACCCGAAACCAGGUGAUCUACCCUUGGUCAGGUUGAAGUUCAGGUAACACUGAAUGGAGGACCGAACCGACUUACGUUGAAAAGUGAGCGGAUGAACUGAGGGUAGCGGAGAAAUUCCAAUCGAACCUGGAGAUAGCUGGUUCUCUCCGAAAUAGCUUUAGGGCUAGCCUCAAGUGAUGAUUAUUGGAGGUAGAGCACUGUUUGGACGAGGGGCCCCUCUCGGGUUACCGAAUUCAGACAAACUCCGAAUGCCAAUUAAUUUAACUUGGGAGUCAGAACAUGGGUGAUAAGGUCCGUGUUCGAAAGGGAAACAGCCCAGACCACCAGCUAAGGUCCCAAAAUAUAUGUUAAGUGGAAAAGGAUGUGGCGUUGCCCAGACAACUAGGAUGUUGGCUUAGAAGCAGCCAUCAUUUAAAGAGUGCGUAAUAGCUCACUAGUCGAGUGACACUGCGCCGAAAAUGUACCGGGGCUAAACAUAUUACCGAAGCUGUGGAUUGUCCUUUGGACAAUGGUAGGAGAGCGUUCUAAGGGCGUUGAAGCAUGAUCGUAAGGACAUGUGGAGCGCUUAGAAGUGAGAAUGCCGGUGUGAGUAGCGAAAGACGGGUGAGAAUCCCGUCCACCGAUUGACUAAGGUUUCCAGAGGAAGGCUCGUCCGCUCUGGGUUAGUCGGGUCCUAAGCUGAGGCCGACAGGCGUAGGCGAUGGAUAACAGGUUGAUAUUCCUGUACCACCUAUAAUCGUUUUAAUCGAUGGGGGGACGCAGUAGGAUAGGCGAAGCGUGCGAUUGGAUUGCACGUCUAAGCAGUAAGGCUGAGUAUUAGGCAAAUCCGGUACUCAUUAAGGCUGAGCUGUGAUGGGGAGAAGACAUUGUGUCUUCGAGUCGUUGAUUUCACACUGCCGAGAAAAGCCUCUAGAUAGAAAAUAGGUGCCCGUACCGCAAACCGACACAGGUAGUCAAGAUGAGAAUUCUAAGGUGAGCGAGCGAACUCUCGUUAAGGAACUCGGCAAAAUGACCCCGUAACUUCGGGAGAAGGGGUGCUCUUUAGGGUUAACGCCCAGAAGAGCCGCAGUGAAUAGGCCCAAGCGACUGUUUAUCAAAAACACAGGUCUCUGCUAAACCGUAAGGUGAUGUAUAGGGGCUGACGCCUGCCCGGUGCUGGAAGGUUAAGAGGAGUGGUUAGCUUCUGCGAAGCUACGAAUCGAAGCCCCAGUAAACGGCGGCCGUAACUAUAACGGUCCUAAGGUAGCGAAAUUCCUUGUCGGGUAAGUUCCGACCCGCACGAAAGGCGUAACGAUUUGGGCACUGUCUCAACGAGAGACUCGGUGAAAUCAUAGUACCUGUGAAGAUGCAGGUUACCCGCGACAGGACGGAAAGACCCCGUGGAGCUUUACUGUAGCCUGAUAUUGAAAUUCGGCACAGCUUGUACAGGAUAGGUAGGAGCCUUUGAAACGUGAGCGCUAGCUUACGUGGAGGCGCUGGUGGGAUACUACCCUAGCUGUGUUGGCUUUCUAACCCGCACCACUUAUCGUGGUGGGAGACAGUGUCAGGCGGGCAGUUUGACUGGGGCGGUCGCCUCCUAAAAGGUAACGGAGGCGCUCAAAGGUUCCCUCAGAAUGGUUGGAAAUCAUUCAUAGAGUGUAAAGGCAUAAGGGAGCUUGACUGCGAGACCUACAAGUCGAGCAGGGUCGAAAGACGGACUUAGUGAUCCGGUGGUUCCGCAUGGAAGGGCCAUCGCUCAACGGAUAAAAGCUACCCCGGGGAUAACAGGCUUAUCUCCCCCAAGAGUUCACAUCGACGGGGAGGUUUGGCACCUCGAUGUCGGCUCAUCGCAUCCUGGGGCUGUAGUCGGUCCCAAGGGUUGGGCUGUUCGCCCAUUAAAGCGGUACGCGAGCUGGGUUCAGAACGUCGUGAGACAGUUCGGUCCCUAUCCGUCGUGGGCGUAGGAAAUUUGAGAGGAGCUGUCCUUAGUACGAGAGGACCGGGAUGGACAUACCUCUGGUGUACCAGUUGUCGUGCCAACGGCAUAGCUGGGUAGCUAUGUGUGGACGGGAUAAGUGCUGAAAGCAUCUAAGCAUGAAGCCCCCCCUCAAGAUGAGAUUUCCCAACUUCGGUUAUAAGAUCCCUCAAAGAUGAUGAGGUUAAUAGGUUCGAGGUGGAAGCAUGGUGACAUGUGGAGCUGACGAAUACUAAUCGAUCGAAGACUUAAUCAA